This 253-nucleotide ribosomal RNA is filed under the name uncultured bacterium. Its description in RNAcentral is "partial 16S ribosomal RNA". It matches the Rfam family "Bacterial small subunit ribosomal RNA", at positions 524 to 776 of the family's 1533-position model. The record is from RNAcentral.
UACAGAGGUCUCAAGCGUUGUUCGGAUUCAUUGGGCGUAAAGGGUGCGUAGGUGGCGAGGCAAGUCUGGUGUGAAAUCCCGGGGCUCAACCCCGGAACUGCACUGGAUACUGCUUUGCUAGAGUACUGGAGAGGAGAUUGGAAUUUACGGUGUAGCAGUGAAAUGCGUAGAUAUCGUAAGGAAGACCAGUGGCGAAGGCGAAUCUCUGGACAGUUACUGACACUGAGGCACGAAGGCCAGGGGAGCGAACGGG